Molecule: long non-coding RNA, 1347 nt
Filed under: Medicago truncatula (barrel medic)
Lineage: Eukaryota; Viridiplantae; Streptophyta; Magnoliopsida; Fabales; Fabaceae
Description: long non-coding RNA (MTRU_LNC001131)
Source: RNAcentral
GGUGAUCCAAGAGUUGUAAGUCCUUACAAAAUGGAAUUUUUGCUAAAGUGGGGCAUCAACCUUCAAACACCGUUCAUGUCCCCUGAGAGUAAAGAUCGAUAAUAAAAAGGUGCCAUAAGACUUGUAAGUCCUUGGCAAGUGAACCUUCUCCUACACUGGGGUACCGACAUUUAGGUAUCUUACACAACCUCCGAGUGUCGAGGCCGGAAGACAUAGACACUCUAAGAGUUAUGGUACGAGUUGUUGAAUAAUAAUGUCUAGAUGUUAUUUAUUUAAGUAUUUUGAUGAGGAUAAAUAGUUUAACAGGGUAUUCUCUCUGCUCAUGUGUAUCCCUCCUUACCUUUUCACAAAGGAAACCAAGGUCAAGUUUUACUUCGCGUCGGCCGAACUUCCCUGUUUUAUUCGCACAAUCUUUAUAGUUCAACCAAUCUUAGUCUGGCAUUUAUUUUUCUACCACAACCUUCCCUCCUUGACGUUGUUGGCUAGUGGUUACGCUUACGUUGACUUCUUCACUUUCGAUUUCCCAGAUCAAUUAAUUUUAGGAUGUCGUGAUCACUUGCUUAGGCAGUUUUGGUUUGAUCAUUCUCCCUUUACAGUGCGGGCUUCCAUAUUUUCACUCCUUCAUCCAUAACUUCUGAAUGUGAAAGAGAGGUCGUUGUUCUAACAUGGCAUACAAGUGAAGAGCUGUGGAAUAAGAAGUUAACCGAAGUUAAAGUUGGUUCAACAAACUCUUAAUAAUGGAAUUCUAAGGAGAAUUUCAUUUUAUUUUUCUGCCAUCAACUAAAUCUCUUAAGGUAAACAACAACACUGUUGGUGAAGUUCAGUCCAAUUUUUGUGAUGAUAUGUUAGCCAAAGUAACACUAUCCCUUUCGGUUUUUUCUCAAGAAGAAUAUAACAAAUGUCAACCUUGAGGACAAGGUUCUCUUGAAGGUGUGUGUAUUGAUAAAAAUAUAUCAAAUAAAGGGGAGUUAGAGUAGUUAAAGUAGUUAUGAGUUGUUAGAGUAGUUAGUAAAUUAGUUAGCUAGGUUUAUAGCUAGGUUUAGUUUGUUAUUUAGAGUUCUAUUUGGCUUAUGUUUUCUAUUGUAUUUUCUGUUAUAUGUAAGUAGUUGGCUUGCUAUGGAUCAUUACACAUCAUCCUUAUCUCUUUGGUACAAAAGGUCUAUAAAUAUAACCUUCUUCUCUUAGAAAUUGAUCUUUGGCAUAUAUCUUAGUUGUAAUUGGUUUUAUAACCAAUAUAGGAGAGUCUGCUCUCUUGUUUUUUCUUAUUUCCUAGUAAAAAAAAUUAUUUUUCAUUGGAAUCCAAUUCUUGGGGUUCAUAACAUUGUGUUUUUUUUUUUUUUAAGAAGC